UUUACUCAAUUAAGCUUUGUUUUCUCUUAAUUGUCCAUUAUAAGCAGUAGUGGCAAUAAAAAAUAUAUGCAUACAGUUAAUAGUUCAAAAAUCAGGUGACAUUAUGCUUGCUGCGUGUAGUUUAAUCAAAUAUUAAACCAGUUUGGAAGAGCAAGGCGAGCAGGAGGCUCGCUCGCCACAUGCAAGCGCAUUUAUGACGCGGAUGGCGAACGGCGACUGCUGACUGGCGAAAACAACUGCUAUUGCGUCGUCUUCGCCAUUUGCAUUUCCCGCUGGAAACAAGAGCUGCUGUACUGUACAUAUAUGCAUAUGUAGGCAUAUACCUUCUAUAAUUACAAAAAUUAACAGCAAUUCGUAAAAAAGCUAGAGGGAUGGUCUUGAUAGUUAGACAGUAUGAUAAAGGAUCCUACUCCUGGUCUAGUUGCUGCACGAAAUUAUUAACUGAUUGAAUAUCCUCUUGUUAUCAAGGGGGAGCACUAGCUACUUAAGUUCAUUAAAAUAUAUUUUAAAAAAAUA
Molecule: long non-coding RNA, 516 nt
Organism: Drosophila grimshawi
Lineage: Eukaryota; Metazoa; Arthropoda; Insecta; Diptera; Drosophilidae
Exons: 2
Source: RefSeq, a predicted model, not a curated record